RNAcentral lists this transfer RNA (65 nucleotides) under Protopterus aethiopicus (marbled lungfish). RNAcentral describes it as "tRNA-Cys". The record is from RNAcentral. Lineage: Eukaryota; Metazoa; Chordata; Ceratodontiformes; Protopteridae.
GGCCAUGGGGUGUUAUCAUGCCGGAUUGCAAAUCCGGAGAUGCGAAUUUACUUCCGCCGUGGCUU